This 859-nucleotide ribosomal RNA is filed under the name uncultured archaeon. Its description in RNAcentral is "bacterial SSU rRNA". It matches the Rfam family "Archaeal small subunit ribosomal RNA", at positions 484 to 1337 of the family's 1478-position model. The record is from RNAcentral.
GCGAGUGGUCGGCACCAUUAUUGGGCCUAAAGCGCCCGUAGCCGGCCCGGUAAGUCCUCCCUUAAAGCCCCGGGCAUCAACCCGGGGACGGGGAUGAUACUGGCGAGGCUAGGAGGGCGGGAGAGGCCGAGGGUACUCCCUGGGGUAGGGGCGAAAUCCGUUAAUCCCGGGAGGACCACCAGUGGCGAAGGCGCUCGGCUGGAACGCGCCCGACGGUGAGGGGCGAAAGCCGGGGGAGCGAACCGGAUUAGAUACCCGGGUAGUCCCGGCUGUAAACGAUGCGGCACUAGGUGUUGGGCGGGUCCUAGAGCCCGCCCAGUGCCGCAGGGAAGCCGUUAAGCCCGCCGCCUGGGGAGUACGGCCGCAAGGCUGAAACUUAAAGGAAUUGGCGGGGGAGCACCACAAGGGGUGGAGCCUGCGGCUUAAUUGGAGUCAACGCCAGGAAUCUCACCGGGGGCGACAGCAGGAUGACGGCCAGGCUGACGACCUUGCCCGACGCGCUGAGAGGAGGUGCAUGGCCGUCGCCAGCUCGUGUCGUGAGAUGUCCGGUUAAGUCCGGCAACGAGCGAGACCCCCGCCCCCAGUUGCGAUCCGGUCCUCCGGGACCGGAGCACACUGGGGGGACUGCCGCCGUGUAAGGCGGAGGAAGGAGGGGGCCACGGCAGGUCAGCAUGCCCCGAAACCCCCGGGCUGCACGCGGGCUACAAUGGCGGGGACAGCGGGCUUCCGACCCCGAAAGGGGGAGGGAAUCCCUUAAACCCCGCCGUAGUUGGGAUCGAGGGCUGCAACUCGCCCUCGUGAACGAGGAAUCCCUAGUAACCGCGCGUCAACAUCGCGCGGUGAAUACGUCCCUGCUCCU